Long non-coding RNA from Mytilus californianus (California mussel), 523 nucleotides. RefSeq lists it as uncharacterized. Lineage: Eukaryota; Metazoa; Mollusca; Bivalvia; Mytilida; Mytilidae. The transcript has 3 exons. The record is from RefSeq and is a predicted model, not a curated record.
UAAAAGUAAAACGACAAGAAAUAAAUUUGGACGGUAAAAUCUUUCCAUACAUUUUUCAUUGCCACUGCAUGGUUUGUUUAGAAUUUUUUGAUUAACAACAACACAUUAGAGUUAAUAGAAUGAGAUGCCAUCAAAGUCACAAGUUCACCAGCGGUUCGUAAAUGAACCAAUUGGACCAAAGUCAGUAACUGCUAUUCCACAAAUAGGACCACAAACAGCCGUGUAUUUCAAUAUAUAUAACAUAUAUCUGGCAUCACAAAUACUCGGGUAUUUUCUAUUUAUACAACGAGAUGCGGGGAACUUCAUGCAAUGGUUAUCACGUCACGGAUGUAAUAAUGGACAACAGAAAGCUAUUUAUGACGCAAUGCAAGAAUAUGUACAGCAACAUUUGUUUUAAUAUUAAAACAUUAUUAGGGUGUUUUAUAUACUGACCGACUAGAAAACGCAACACUAGAUUAUUCUUUUUAAUUCUCAUUUUCAAAUAUGCUAUUUUUGUUAAACAAAUAUAUGAAGUUCAAAAACA